GAUGAACGCUGGCGGAAUGCUUUACACAUGCAAGUCGAACGGCAGCACGGGGGCAACCCUGGUGGCGAGUGGCGAACGGGUGAGUAAUACAUCGGAACGUGCCCAGUCGUGGGGGAUAACGUAGCGAAAGCUACGCUAAUACCGCAUACGAACUCUGGUUGAAAGCGGGGGAUCGCAAGACCUUGCGCGAUUGGAGCGGCCGAUGGCAGAUUAGGUAGUUGGUAGGGUAAAGGCCUACCAAGCCGACGAUCUGUAGCUGGUCUGAGAGGACGACCAGCCACACUGGGACUGAGACACGGCCCAGACUCCUACGGGAGGCAGCAGUGGGGAAUUUUGGACAAUGGGCGAAAGCCUGAUCCAGCCAUUCCGCGUGCAGGAUGAAGGCCCUCGGGUUGUAAACUGCUUUUGUACGGAACGAAACGCGCUGUGCUAAUACCACGGCGUAAUGACGGUACCGUAAGAAUAAGCACCGGCUAACUACGUGCCAGCCGCCGCCGUAA
This 500-nucleotide ribosomal RNA is filed under the name uncultured bacterium. RNAcentral's name for it is "partial 16S ribosomal RNA". It matches the Rfam family "Bacterial small subunit ribosomal RNA", at positions 28 to 523 of the family's 1533-position model. The record is from RNAcentral.